AAAUUGAAGAGUUUGAUCAUGGCUCAGAUUGAACGCUGGCGGCAGGCCUAACACAUGCAAGUCGAACGGUAACAGRAAUCAGCUUGCUGMUUUGCUGACGAGUGGCGGACGGGUGAGUAAUGUCUGGGAAACUGCCUGAUGGAGGGGGAUAACUACUGGAAACGGUAGCUAAUACCGCAUAACGUCGCAAGACCAAAGAGGGGGACCUUCGGG
RNAcentral lists this ribosomal RNA (213 nucleotides) under Escherichia coli. RNAcentral's name for it is "partial 16S ribosomal RNA". It matches the Rfam family "Bacterial small subunit ribosomal RNA", at positions 1 to 209 of the family's 1533-position model. Lineage: Bacteria; Pseudomonadati; Pseudomonadota; Gammaproteobacteria; Enterobacterales; Enterobacteriaceae. The record is from RNAcentral.